GGAUGGGGUGUAGCUCAAUGGUAGAGUGUGUGCUUAGCAUGUAUGAGGCCCUGGGUUCAACUCCCAGCACCUCCA
RNAcentral lists this transfer RNA (75 nucleotides) under Sus scrofa (pig). RNAcentral describes it as "tRNA-Ala (AGC) (tRNA-Ala-AGC-14-1)". It matches the Rfam family "tRNA". From Rfam's summary of the family: Transfer RNA (tRNA) molecules are approximately 80 nucleotides in length. Their secondary structure includes four short double-helical elements and three loops (D, anti-codon, and T loops). Further hydrogen bonds mediate the characteristic L-shaped molecular structure. tRNAs have two regions of fundamental functional importance: the anti-codon, which is responsible for specific mRNA codon recognition, and the 3' end, to which the tRNAs corresponding amino acid is attached (by aminoacyl-tRNA synthetases). tRNAs cope with the degeneracy of the genetic code in two manners: having more than one tRNA (with a specific anti-codon) for a particular amino acid; and 'wobble' base-pairing, i.e. permitting non-standard base-pairing at the 3rd anti-codon position. The record is from RNAcentral. Lineage: Eukaryota; Metazoa; Chordata; Mammalia; Artiodactyla; Suidae.